RNAcentral lists this ribosomal RNA (492 nucleotides) under uncultured bacterium. Its description in RNAcentral is "partial 16S ribosomal RNA". It matches the Rfam family "Bacterial small subunit ribosomal RNA", at positions 29 to 507 of the family's 1533-position model. The record is from RNAcentral.
AGUGAACGCUGGCGGUAGGCCUAACACAUGCAAGUCGAACGGCAGCACAGUAAGAGCUUGCUCUUACGGGUGGCGAGUGGCGGACGGGUGAGGAAUACAUCGGAAUCUACUUUUUCGUGGGGGAUAACGUAGGGAAACUUACGCUAAUACCGCAUACGACCUACGGGUGAAAGCAGGGGAUCUUCGGACCUUGCGCGAUUGCAUGAGCCGAUGUCGGAUUAGCUAGUUGGCGGGGUAAAGGCCCACCAAGGCGACGAUCCGUAGCUGGUCUGAGAGAAUGAUCAGCCACACUGGAACUGAGACACGGUCCAGACUCCUACGGGAGGCAGCAGUGGGGAAUAUUGGACAAAGGGCGCAAGCCUGAUCCAGCCAUACCGCGUGGGUGAAGAAGGCCUUCGGGUUGUAAAGCCCUUUUGUUGGGAAAGAAAAGCAGCAGGUUAAUACCCCGCUGUUCUGACGGUACCCAAAGAAUAAGCACCGGCUAACUUCGUG